RNAcentral lists this ribosomal RNA (202 nucleotides) under uncultured bacterium. RNAcentral describes it as "partial 16S ribosomal RNA". It matches the Rfam family "Bacterial small subunit ribosomal RNA", at positions 1300 to 1500 of the family's 1533-position model. The record is from RNAcentral.
GUAGUCUGCAACUCGACUACAUGAAGCCGGAAUCGCUAGUAAUCGCGGAUCAGAAUGCCGCGGUGAAUACGUUCCCGGGUCUUGUACACACCGCCCGUCACACCAUGGGAGCCGGAAAUGCCCGAAGUCAGUGACCCAACCAAUAAGGAGGGAGCUGCCGAAGGCAGGUCUGGUGACUGGGGUGAAGUCGUAACAAGGUAAC